This is an RNA transcript of Phragmites australis (common reed), 1731 nucleotides long. It is a transcript of the gene named probable CCR4-associated factor 1 homolog 7, with no coding region annotated. The transcript has 3 exons. NCBI's taxonomy places the organism in Eukaryota, Viridiplantae, Streptophyta, Magnoliopsida, Poales, Poaceae. The record is from RefSeq and is a predicted model, not a curated record.
CCCCCCACAAAGGGAGGCUUCGCCCCCCUUCUCGAGCGUUUCGCCCAGUUCCCCAAUCUGACCAAACCCUAGAAGCCAUCGAUUCGAUCGGGAAUUCGGCAUGGCUAUGUCGGACCCCGCGGCCGCUGUGAUCCCCAAGCCCGACGGCGGCAGCGUCGGCGACGAUGAGUUGGUGGAUAUCCGGGAGGUGUGGGCGGACAACCUGGAGGAGGAGUUCGCGCUGAUCCGCGACAUCGUCGACGAGUUCCCGUUCGUCGCGAUGGACACGGAGUUCCCGGGCAUCGUCUGUCGCCCCGUCGGCGCCUUCCGCUCCCCCGCCGACUACAACUACGCCACCCUCAAGGCCAACGUCGACAUGCUCCACCUCAUCCAGCUCGGCCUCACCUUCUCCGGCCCGCGCGGCGAGCUGCCGGCACUCGGCGCCGGACGACGCCGCUGCGUCUGGCAGUUCAACUUCCGCGAGUUCGAUGACGCGCGGGACAUCUUUGCAACCGACUCCAUCGAGCUGCUCCGCCGCAGCGGCAUCGACUUCCGCCGCAACGCCGAGCGCGGCGUCGACGCCCGCAGCUUCGCUGAGCUGCUCAUGUCCUCCGGCGUCGUGCUUAACGACUCCGUCUACUGGGUGACCUUCCACGCCGGAUACGACUUUGGGUACCUGCUCAAGAUCCUCACUUGCAACAGCCUCCCAGACACGCAAGCCGGGUUCUUUAAGCUGAUGAAGAUAUAUUUCCCGACCGUGUACGACAUCAAGCACCUCAUGAAGUUCUGCAACAGCCUGCACGGUGGGCUGAACAAGCUCGCCGAGCUCCUCGAUGUGGAGCGCGUUGGGGAGUCCCACCAGGCCGGGUCUGAUAGCCUGGUCACGUCCUGCGCAUUCUGGAAGCUCAGGGAUUCAUUCUUUGCUGGCUCGACGGAGAAAUAUGCAGGCGUUCUGUACGGGCUCAAUGCUGAGAAUGGUGUUAGUGCACAUUGACGGAUGAUUCCAGUAGAUGGUUUCCAGGGGAGAAAAUUGGCUCUGCUUGAAUCAGCCUGCAUUCAGGCCAGAUUCCAGUAGUCGUCAAGGUAUGACUGGCAGUACUGUCUAAUGCGUUGUUCUUGAAACGGAUGUAAUUCUAGUGCUAUACUGGAAAGGCGGCAAAUUUUUUAAAUGUGCGACGCUAAUCUCCAGCGACCAGGUCAAACUAUCUGCAUCUCAGAACCAUCGGUCAGCAGUGGCGUCGCUCUACUCUUCACCAGCAUCUGACUCGGUGCACAAUUCACCUUGCUGGCGUCUGGACGCUCACUGCGUACUCUGGUUAUCGAUUCCCUUGGAUCUUGUAAUGGUUACACAUUUGAAUAAUGUAUAGUGUGGUCGCUAAAUUGGUAUCAUUUUUAAUUGAUAUUCACAACAGAUUCUUAAUACCUCUUUAAUUCACAUCUGACAGGUAAUCAGGAAUUUUGAUUGUCCCAUUCAAAAAAAAAAAAAGAUGGGCUCUGCAGAACACAGUUGCUCGCCCGAUCUCACCAGUAAUUAUCUGGGAUACAGCAAAAGGCAUGGAGAACUGAUUUCUGACCCUCCAAAGGAAGGCGUGAAAUAUGAGCUGACAAACAGACUUCAUGCAAAACAAUAUAUCAAAGUUGAUUUCCAAAGAACAACAUUGAAAAAUAAAAACAAAGGGUUAUGCCAAGAACAUGUAGCACUCCGAACUUCUCUGGCUCAUCUAUUUACAAAUGGCACUGGAGAUCUCCAAC